Molecule: ribosomal RNA, 279 nt
Filed under: uncultured bacterium
Lineage: Bacteria
Description: partial 16S ribosomal RNA
Rfam family: Bacterial small subunit ribosomal RNA
Source: RNAcentral
UGCCAGCCGCCGCGGUAAUACGGAGGGUGCAAGCGUUAAUCGGAAUUACUGGGCGUAAAGCGCAUGCAGGCGGUUUGUUAAGCGAGAUGUGAAAGCCCCGGGCUCAACCUGGGAACAGCAUUUCGAACUGGCAAACUAGAGUUCUUGAGAGGGAGGUAGAAUUCAUAGUGUAGCGGUGGAAUGCGUAGAUAUUAUGAAGAAUACCAGUGGCGAAGGCGGCCUCCUGGAUCUGUACUGACACUGAGGUGCGAAAGCGUGGGUAGCGAACAGGAUUAGAUA